This is a long non-coding RNA of Orcinus orca (killer whale), 3611 nucleotides long. RefSeq lists it as uncharacterized. The record is from RefSeq and is a predicted model, not a curated record. Lineage: Eukaryota; Metazoa; Chordata; Mammalia; Artiodactyla; Delphinidae. The transcript has 3 exons.
UUAGAGAACUUUUGGGGAUUAAAGGUUAAGUGUGUGUUUAAAGUCAAGCCAACUUUGAGGAAUUUCCUCUUGAUUGGAAAAUAAGACUCAUAAGGUCAGAUGAGCUUUUCUCUUUUGACUAUGAAGAAGAGAGUAUUUAGAGACUGGAAGUUAAAACUUUUCCAGAGACCAAGAAGGCAGUUGUAGCAUUUCCUAAACUCAGAGCAAUUGUGUUUCAUACAGCUGUAUGUGCACUUUCAGUUACAAAGAUGUUUUUCCGGAGAAGUAUUAUCAGUUCCUUGCGGGUAGAGGAUGUUCCUGACACAUCUUAGCAUCUCCGAGUGCUAGAAGGAUAGAGCUGACCGUAAGGAUCAGGUACUGUGCAUGAGCUCUUAUAAUUUUUAUAAUGAUCUAUGAAGAAGGAAAUAUAAUUUCUCUAAUUUUAUAGGUGAGGAAACUGAAACACAAGCUACACAACUCCAGUGAGAAGCAGAGCUGGAACUGAUUCCACUUGGCUGAUUUCCCAGGUCAGCUAGAUCCUACCCCUCAUAUCCUGCAGUGCUUGCUUUCAGUGAACAGGUGAGAUGCUUUCUGGAGAGACAGAUCUGGGACUUCAUGGAGCUUACAGAAUAGGCUGUAUGACUGCUUGCUAAUAAAUGUCUGUUGAAUCUGACCAGAGGCUAUUGGUCAUUGUAACAUACCAUCUGGAGCAAGACUGUGGAGAAGCCCUAUAGCUUAACCUGUCUCUUAACUGUUGGAAGCUACUGAUGUCUGCCCAAAAGAAGCUAAUAAUAAUGAAUUGACUUUUAGGUUAAUUUGUAACCUUCUUCUUCCUUAGUUAUCUCCAGCUGGAAGAAAUCUAGUCCCAGAGAGUCAAAUAAUGAUGUCUUGUGAAGAGUUAUCAUGUACUUCUGUGUGGUCACUACUGGGGCUGUGAUCUCUGACAUGAAGCCCUCCUUGCAAUGUACAAGCAUUUGGAACACUGGCAAGGCCUGUGAGCUAAAAUUUCAAACAACCAGCAGUUAGAAACUGACUGUUGUCUCUAAGUGCUGUAGAUCUCCUGGGUAUUUCCAGUUCCAUUGGGAAGGGAGUUAUGAUCAAAGCCACUAAGGUUAAAAUGACUGUAGCUAUCAGGAUGGCCCCUCCUCCUUCCUUUUGGUUCACUGUCGGGGAAAUCUUGCCCCAGGGGUGCUGUCUCUUUCUCUGCUAUCUCAGUUGUCCCUGUUGGAUGCUCCCCUGUCUCAAGUAGCUACAAGUUCCAAAAACACCAGAGAUUUUUUGCCUAACUGGUUGCUUCAUAUCACAAGUAAUCUGGUAAUUGCUUGUGAAUUGCAGGUCUCUAUUUCGAUUUUGUGGUGAGAAGCACAGAACUGGUACUUUUUAAAUGUCUUAAAAAGUGAAAAAAUAUAUGAACGUAAAUAAUCAAACACAAUAACGUAAGUAUUGAGUUUGUGUUAUCCAAUAUGAUUGAUGAAACUAUAGACCAUACUUUCCAGAAUGAUUUCAUGUAAACUUUUAUGUUUUAAUUUCACAAUUUGAAAAGUGAUAUGCAUAGUUAAGGUAAAAUUUGGAGUUUCUCUUUUCCUCCUAGUCCAUCUAAAACAGUGCUAAUAGAACUUUAUAGAACGUUUUAAUCUGUGCUGUCCAAUAAGAUAGCCAGCCACUAGUCACAUGUGAUUAUUGAGCACUUAAUGUGGCUAGUGCAGCUGAGGAACUGAAUUUUAAAUUGUAUUUAUUUUCAUUAAUUUAAAUUUAAAUAGUCACUGGUGAGUCAUGGCUACCAUAUUGGUCAGAAUAGAUCUAGAAUACAGUGAUGACCUUAUAACAGGAUAGUCUAGGCUAUGUUACAGCCACAAAGAAUGCUAAAAUCUUGGGGAUUUAUAAGAACAAAGAUUUAUUUCUUGCUUGUGUUAUGUACUCAUUUGGGAUUGGCUUGGGACCUAGGUGGAUAAAGUAGCCACCAUCUGACAUGUUGCCAGUCACUAUGGAGAGUCUUGCACCAGUACUUAAAUUCUCUGGACCAGAGGGGAUGAACAUCACUUCUGCUUCAACCUCGCUGACUGGAAUUAGUCACACAGCCCCAUCUCCCAUCUCACACAGGGAGUCAGGAAUGUGGUCCUAAUCAUGUGCCAGGGGGCAAAGAGCCUCAGUAAUGACUGUCACAGACAUUAGCUUCCUUUUCGAAAUACAGAGGCAUUCCCAAGGGUUAAAGAAAGUAGUAUUACCCGUGUUUUCUUGAAAAGUGGAGAGUUGAGUUUCUUUAGAAUUCAGUUAUUCUUUAGCUCAUUGACACUCAAUAGCACAGAUGUAUUAAAAGCACAGAUUUUAUUAACAUGUGUAGAACUCAAACAUCUUGAUAAAAAGAGACUUUAAGUUAGAGCUGACAAGAGUCAGCAUGUCUUUUUAGUUAUACAUAGAAAUUCAUUUAAUAUGAAGCUCUGCGAUGUAAGGAAUAAUCAGUGGAUUGUUUUUUAUAUGUUUGGGAAGAGAAUGGAAUGGAAGGAAAUUAUUUGUUUUCUUUCAGAAUAUAAGGUACAUUUUUCACUAGCGAGGAAUAAAAAGUCCUUUUCUUUAAAAAUAAUAAUUUCCUCACUAGGAGCAUUUGUGGAUUGUGGUUGCCUUAAAAAAGUGAAACAAUUUAAAUAUUAUCUGGACAAUGGAUUCUUUCCAGACUAUACUGUGGAAUCAUAGAAUCAUCUAGUCUAACAUUUAAUAGUAUGUCUUGAUUCUUUCUAGAAUAUCUACAGUAUUGUUUGAAUACUCGAGGCCUGGGGGGGGGGGCCCACCAUCUGAUAUCUGAAAACAGACUUCCUGUGAAGCAGGAGUGAUGGUUUCCUGAGAACAAAUGCUUCACUAUCAAGACAUGGAAAGAUAGCACUCGGCUGCUAGUAACAAAUUGCACCAAAGUUACAAAUGCAGACCAAGCCUUGUUUCCUGUAGAAAUCUUCGAAGAGGGGAUAAGUUUAGAUUUCCUACUGAUUUUGGAAGAAAGGAGAUUCUGUUUUUCCUAGGGAAGCCAGUCAUCCAUGAGCAGGAGACGUGUCUUCAGAAUCUAAGAAGUGUAAUGUCCCUAAUGCUUAAACUCAUGGCAAGUCCAGAUCCAGAAAAACUGGCAGGUAGAACAGGGGAUGGAAAUGAAAAGUUCAAAUGUCUAUAGUAUACUUUGGAAAUAUUGUGCCUCGUAAGUUAAAAUGGCUCAACUGCCUGCAGAAUGAAGUGCUACAGGACUGGAGGAGACCCGGUUCUCUGGAGUAGGAGCUGGGAGAGACCCCCAUCUCCAGGGACCCUCUGGGCAGGGCUGUGACCUUGUUUUUUUCAUGAGUGCUUUCAGUUGGAGAAUUUAUAUGACUUUGCCCAGAUAAAGCUUCCUUAUGUUACUUUUUCUCUAAAAUUGGUUGGUCAGGCAAGUUACUGGUGAUUUCCCAAAAUGAAAUCUAGCUGUACUAGAAUCUUAAGGUGCCAGCUAAUUUAAAUUAAUGCCCCUCAGUAACGCUGCUGGGUAUCAACCACUAUUGCUGAAGAAUCAACCCCCAUAUGACCUAACUAAGUAAUCUAUCACACUAGGUGCUUCUACUGUCUUGGGUUUUUUGAGCUUUAGAGAGAUAGUCUUUGUAAUAUGACUUAGAAACUGC